CAGAUAAGAACGAGCAAGGUCUUGAAGAUGGUAAGUGGCUCUGUUUUUCACACACCCAACAGGAAUCUGGGGUGCUUGUGACAAGGGGCACACAAAACUUGUAGCCUCCCUGUGAACAAAUUCCCUACAUGU
Molecule: non-coding RNA, 132 nt
Organism: Otolemur garnettii (small-eared galago)
Lineage: Eukaryota; Metazoa; Chordata; Mammalia; Primates; Galagidae
Source: Rfam